RNAcentral lists this unclassified non-coding RNA (332 nucleotides) under soil metagenome. RNAcentral's name for it is "partial contains 5.8S ribosomal RNA, internal transcribed spacer 2, and large subunit ribosomal RNA". The stretch from base 1 to 120 matches the Rfam family "5.8S ribosomal RNA", at positions 35 to 154 of the family's 154-position model. The record is from RNAcentral.
GAUGAAGAACGUAGCAAAAUGCGAUAAGUAAUGUGAAUUGCAGAAUUCAGUGAAUCAUCGAAUCUUUGAACGCACAUUGCGCCCGCCAGUAUUCUGGCGGGCAUGCCUGUUCGAGCGUCAUUUCAACCCUCAAGCACAGCUUGGUGUUGGGACUCGCGUUAAUUCGCGUUCCCCAAAUUGAUUGGCGGUCACGUCGAGCUUCCAUAGCGUAGUAGUAAAACCCUCGUUACUGGUAAUCGUCGCGGCCACGCCGUUAAACCCCAACUUCUGAAUGUUGAACUCGGAUCAGGUAGGAAUACCCGCUGAACUUAAGCAUAUCAAUAAGCGGAGGA